CCCUGCGGAGGAAGAAUGUUCUUAGUAUUUCAGGGCAUUCUCAUCCAGGGCCGUGCCCUUCCUCUCGAGUCUGGUUUUAGAAAGUGGUACUCAUUCUCUUCCCGCCCCUUGCUGUUUUUGAGAUGCCAGGAUUAAAUGGGAUUGAACCCAGGGCUUCCCGCAUGCUAGUGACUGUUUUCUUCAGUCUGCUAGCAAGACUGUAGGAUUCUGGAGCUUUCGUGGGCACAGCCCCACAAAGAUGCUGAGGGCACAUGAUGAACAGAGCUAGCAGGAUAGACACUGUAACAAGUGCUCACUCACUCUCCAAGAAGCUUCCUAGCUGCUCAGUGAACCAAAGAUCCAUGAAGCUUCUAGUGCUGAAGCUGGGUAUGGUGUUUGGCUGCAUGUAUACCUCUACAUCACAUGAUGUACCCACGGAGGCUAGAAAAGGGCUUUGGAUCCCUGGGAUUAGAGUUACAGAGGGGUGUGAACCACCCUGUAGCAGGUCCUCUGGAAGAAUAACCAGUGCUCUUAACAACUGAGCCAUCUUUCCACCCCGCUUUCCAAUUUUGUCCAAAUCCCAGAACGUUGGGACACAGUAUGGCUGCCAACUGCAAAUGUAGACAUUUUCCUUUAGUUAAACAGCAUUACUGGAAGAAACGGGGCGGGGCGACAGAGGGACCUGCAUCGGAGGGAAUCAGUUAACUAGAGUGCUGGGACUCCUGCAUGAACCUGUCCAGGCCCUGAGCAUACAGCCACAGCUCUCUGUGAGUUCAUAUGUGCGUGAACCCUACUGUGUGCCGAGAGGACUGCUUCACUGAAGUCAUCCCCUCUAGCCCUUACAAUCUUUCCUCCUGCACCAGAAGAGGGCAUCAGA
Long non-coding RNA from Mastomys coucha (southern multimammate mouse), 856 nucleotides. RefSeq lists it as uncharacterized. The transcript has 5 exons. The record is from RefSeq and is a predicted model, not a curated record. Lineage: Eukaryota; Metazoa; Chordata; Mammalia; Rodentia; Muridae.